CGCUCCACGCUCCACGCUCCACGCUCCACGCUCGACGCCCGAUGCCCGACGCCGCCUGGAGCGCAGGGGAGCUAGGCGCAGGGUCUCCGCGCGGCCUCGUCUCCUCGCCUGUCGGCGCCCUGGGCGGGCGCGGCUUCCGAUCUUGACCGAACAGGAAGGCGCUUCGGUCCAGCUCCCCAGAGCAGCCCAAGCAGGCCGUGGGCCUCCUUUUUCUCUGACUGACUCUUGAUGCCGAGUCCUUUUGGCCUCACGUCUCAGUUUAAAGGUCACCACUUCUUUGGCGCUUCUGCUCCCCCCGCAACCACCACCAAAAGCAAAUGAACAGAAAAUCCACCUUUGGCUUCUUUUGGAUUCUCUAGCACCGAACUCUUACCCCAUGCCUCAGGGCCCAGAUUAGGAGACAACAGACGUUUGAGUGAAGGAGAAUAUUUGGGGGGUGGGGGGUGGGGGGUGAGUGCAGUGAGGAAGACGAUGGUGGGGGAGUGACUGGUCCUCAGCCGCCUAAGCUGGUGAUGACAGUGCCACACUAGCAGCAGGUAGCCCACUUCCACCCCCCCCACCCCCACCCCGUGUUCUUCCUUGUUGGAUCUGCCACUUCAGUGGCGAAGCGUCUACAUUACUCUGUCACCUUUGAGCCUGCAACCACCUCAAGAAAACAGUGGGAUCAACUGCCCUGCUUCUGAUGACCCUGCUCUCAUACGCAGAGGUUGACGUAUGUCUAUAAAUAGUACAUUAAAGGCACUUACCAUCAUUUCCAGUCACUUACGGUCACUUACAGUCACUCGUUUUACAAGAGGGCAGCCUGCAGAACUCUUAGACCUGGGCUUUCCAACGACUUCACUUCACGCACGACGGAGCGAAGCCGCAGAAUAUUUGUGAAGAUAUUUGCUCCUAAUGCUGAGCAGAUGCACAUCAUUAAUCACUUGAAAGAGAGCCCAACAGAAGAGAAGAGAAAUAUGCUGGAGGAAAGUGCCAGGAGGGCCCAUGGGGAUGCACAAGACUUGGCAGACCUGAACUUCAGUGAGUUUGAUGCUGUCAGGAUACCUGGUUGACUGGACUUGGCUGGGUUUGCUUAAGAUCUCUCAUGCAACGAACAUAUGGACACCAAGUGGGGAAAGCUGGGGGAGUGGGGCUG
Hippopotamus amphibius kiboko is the source of this 1135-nucleotide long non-coding RNA. RefSeq lists it as uncharacterized. The record is from RefSeq and is a predicted model, not a curated record. NCBI's taxonomy places the organism in Eukaryota, Metazoa, Chordata, Mammalia, Artiodactyla, Hippopotamidae. The transcript is spliced from 3 exons.